GAUGAACGCUGGCGGCGUGCCUAAUACAUGCAAGUCGAGCGAACGGACGAGAAGCUUGCUUCUCUGAUGUUAGCGGCGGACGGGUGAGUAACACGUGGAUAACCUACCUAUAAGACUGGGAUAACUUCGGGAAACCGGAGCUAAUACCGGAUAAUAUUUUGAACCGCAUGGUUCAAAAGUGAAAGACGGUCUUGCUGUCACUUAUAGAUGGAUCCGCGCUGCAUUAGCUAGUUGGUGAGGUAACGGCUUACCAAGGCAACGAUGCAUAGCCGACCUGAGAGGGUGAUCGGCCACACUGGAACUGAGACACGGUCCAGACUCCUACGGGAGGCAGCAGUAGGGAAUCUUCCGCAAUGGGCGAAAGCCUGACGGAGCAACGCCGCGUGAGUGAUGAAGGUCUUCGGAUCGUAAAACCCUGUUAUUAGGGAAGAACAUAUGUGUAAGUAACUGUGCACAUCUUGACGGUACCUAAUCAGAAAGCCACGGCUAACUACGUG
This 497-nucleotide ribosomal RNA is filed under the name uncultured bacterium. Its description in RNAcentral is "partial 16S ribosomal RNA". It matches the Rfam family "Bacterial small subunit ribosomal RNA", at positions 28 to 507 of the family's 1533-position model. The record is from RNAcentral.